UUUAGCCCACCUUCUACAGUCUCUUCAUCGCUCCCUCUCACUUUCCCCUCAAAUUGGCUACUAUCCAAACAGAAAACAACACAAACCGAAACCUCUGCAAAACCCAAAUGAAUCACACGCAGCAGCCUUCCCAGCCCCAAGAUCUGUCAGAUCCCCAACUCCCCCAUAUCAGAGUCCACCACCCCAAUUCUCCCCGACACCACCCCAACUCCCCUCGUCACCACUCCUCCUCCGCCGCCACUCCCACCCCCACCGCCGGCGCCCGCCGCAAGCUCGGCGUCGCCGUUGACCUCUCUGACGAGAGCGCCCACGCCGUCCGCUGGGCUGUCGACCACUACAUCCGCCCCGGCGACGCCGUCAUCCUCCUCCACGUCAGCCCCACCUCCGUCCUCUUCGGCGCCGACUGGGGCUCCGUUGACCUCUCCAUCAACACCAACGACGACAUUGAUUUCGUCGACAACCACGCCCUGCACGACUCCGUCAAGCAGAAGAAGCUUGAGAACGACUUCGAUGCCUUCACCGCCUCCAAGGCCGCCGAUCUCGCCAAGCCCUUGAGGGAGGCGCAGAUUCCGUACAAGAUCCACAUCGUCAAGGACCAUGAUAUGAAGGAGCGGCUCUGCUUGGAGGUCGAGAGGCUAGGGCUCAGUGCCGUGAUCAUGGGGAGCCGAGGGGUCGGCGCUGCCAAGCGUGGGAACGACGGCAGGCUGGGAAGCGUCAGCGAUUAUUGUGUACACCACUGUGUUUGUCCCGUUGUUGUUGUUCGGUUUCCGGAGGAUGACAAUUGCGGCGUUGCUGAUGGUGGUUCUGGUGCUCCUCCUGUUGCUGCGGCGGUUGUUUCUGUUAAAGAGAAUGAGGAGGAAGAGGCCGUGAUCAAGCCGGUGCUAAAGGAGGAGCAUAAGUCAGAAGCUUAGCAGGUAUUCCGAUCUCCGUAGUUGAAUCCUCUCAAGUACAGGUCGCAUUUAAUGCCAAAUUUUGUGUAGAUGUUUGAGUCGACUUGGUGUGGUGUCAAGAUACGUUGAGUCCAGACUGCUUGCUCUCCUCACCAACAGCUCUUUCUCAUGUAUAAACUUUGGGAUGAUUGGAGAUGGUAUUUGUACGGUGAAUGAGGUUUAGGGUUUCUAUGGCGCUUUUCCUACUUUGUUCGACCGCUUUGUGACUCACCUACUCCUUUUAGUUUUGAGGGAUGUGCUUGUUGUUGCUAUUAUGAUGCAAAUUUAAUUAGUGGAUGUUUAUAUUUGGAUUCCUUGGUAUGGUAAGGUACUUUCUACCACAACCAUGAUUACAUUACUUUUCAAAGUCA
Pyrus x bretschneideri (Chinese white pear) is the source of this 1300-nucleotide RNA transcript. It is a transcript of the gene named universal stress protein PHOS32-like, with no coding region annotated. The record is from RefSeq and is a predicted model, not a curated record. Lineage: Eukaryota; Viridiplantae; Streptophyta; Magnoliopsida; Rosales; Rosaceae. The transcript has 3 exons.